GAACGAGUCGCCACGGUCUAUUGACAUUGUUUUUGUUGUUUCUUUUGAAUUUUAGUUCUUUGGUGAUGGUUUGAAAAUUGGUGUUUGAAUUUUUGGAAUUUAUCGAUGAGCAUCCAUCAGUUUUAAUAAUAAUCAAUUAAGCGUUAUUUGAAAACAAACGUUUCAAUUCUUCGAGCAUUUUUCACAAUUCCGAUCAUUUAUAGUCGUAGGAAAGUUUUUUUUUUACCUCAAUUCCACCAAAUUUCUCCACUGCCAUUUUUUUUAUUUGAACGUUUUAUUUCAUAGAAGUGAUGAGAAGUUUUUGAAAAUGUGUCAAAAAUAAGAAUCUUUCAAAUGUUGAGACAGAUGGGUCGACUAAUUUUCAGUGAUGAAUCGACGAAAAGUAUUUCGAAUGAUGUCGAUUCGGGCCUACCGUGUCAGUGGAAAUUCCUCGGUUUAGUCAGACAGAAGAAAACAUUUUUUUGACUAACGAAUACUUCGACCUUGAUUAUUUCCCACCGUGAAAUUCUGGAUGAAAAAUGUUGAUCUCGUGUUUUUUUAUUAGAAAAAAAAUUACGUGGGAUCUCUCAAUAUCGUGUUUUUCGAGUCAGGCACAAUGCCCAAUGCGCAAACGAUGAACGUCGCCAUUUUCUGAAAACUUGGGAAUGAGAGAGGGGGGAGAGAGCGAGAGCAAGAUAGAUUUUUGGAACAUUUAAAUUUCACCAUUUCUCGAAAGCGACGGUGAAGAUAAAAUUGAAACGCGGCGAAUCGGUUUUCCAUGAUUGUGUUUACCGGCAAGUAAUUAGGUGUGCUUAAAAUCCUCAAUAUUUUUACGGACUGCGGGUUGCGAAACUUCAACGCGAACGAGUAUCAUAGAAAUCACUUUUAUGUACACGAACCAGGAGCGUGGCACGCUCCGCCUAAUCAUUCGACCGUAAUUAAUUCUUUUCCGUGUUUCGACCACAUUUCGGCUCAGCGCGUACGUGGCGCAAUGUUUUCUUUUUUUUCCUCUAUUACAGCACCCCGGUAACACACAGUUUUCUUGAGCGGAAUUCGAUUCGUCGUACGACGUCCGAAAUUCGUCAGUCCACAAACAAUUUUGAGCCAUUUUUUCACAAAUUCGUCAAAUUGGAAACAGAUUUUUUAUUGAAACGAAAAAUAAAAUAAAUUUUUUUCGUUUCAAUUUCUGUCAAAUUACGAGCCAUUUUUAUGGGCGUGAUUGGAGCCAUUCGGUAAUGCUCUUGCCCUUCAUAAUUGACAGUUGUUUCCUUAAAUUUCGUUUGUAUUUUCGAUGUGAAAUUUGCAAAUGGAGAGUUUCGAGUUGUAAAUAAUUGAUUGCUCGCAGUUUGAAGUCCGGUAACAAAUCGUUCGAGCAGACAUAAAAUACAGAGCAACAGCGCGAUUGGUCGAAAUCGUAAGAAUAAUGGAUUCGUUAUUUAUUUAGCAGCGUUUAUUAUUUAGGGGCUUGAAAAUAUCGAUGAUCUCGGAAAGUACGUCAAUCUCUUUAAAACGUAUGUCGACGUAAGCGUUCGGUAAGUGUUCCGUGGAAAUUUCCACCGAGUAAAUAAAACGAAGAAAAGCCGUCACGAGAUUUCUUAAGGCCAUAUGCCAAAAACGAGAAGUUAAUGCGCGAGUCGCGUUGGUUUUUUUGGGUAAUUACGCUUAUUCCUCUUUCUGCUCUUGCUUUUUCAAUCAGAUCUCUCUUUCUCUUCUUCGAAUCCCGCACAACGGAUUGGUCGACGUUACACUCUGGAAUAUUUUGCGAAAUUGCCAAAAAAUUCUCUCCCCCCUUACUCCUGCCUCUUUCGACCGACACAAAGAAAUUUUUCGCCGCGUCUCUUGACGAUCUAACAAAGAAAUUCAAAGUCGAGCUUCUGCUCGACGCUACCGUUGCGCGGAACACUCGCGCCUCUACAGUCAUAAAACGGAACUCUCGAAAAAUACGCACACGCUGUUCCGAAGCCCACCAACGUUCGCGACGUUUUGAAGAUAGAAAGAAAAUUCUGUUUGCUCCGUGGUGUCAGGACGAAAUCAACGCUUCGUGCUAGUCUUCCGAUCAUCGAACAGGGAACAAACAGUCUAAACAGGCAAAACUUUAGGCCUUCGAUCACAGGAAACACGCGAUAAAAAAAAUGAAUAAACGUCGAAUGAAUCGUUCCUGCCAUUUUUCAGUUCUUUGUGUCGUUGAAAGUCAUUCGCGUUUGAAACGUAACGUGCAUCAUUAUCGAUGAAUUUGCCAAUUUUAGUUGAACGAAUAAUUGAUUUUAAUUAAUUCAUGAAUUCGUUUAAUAGAGAGGAAAAAAUUUUAAUGAAUUUCAAUGUGAUUUUUUUUGUUUCCUUCGCCUCGAAGAUCCAUUCAUUGUUUCUGAUGAGAGCAAAGCGAAGGAACGAAACUUCAUUGCCGGUUAGCAAAACAGAGAGACCGAAAAUUCGGGUCUUUUUUCCGAACAGGGACAAAAUGUUUAUAUAUACAGAGGGAGUUCAGUAUACGCUUGGCCGCUGGCCAGAGAAUACUGCGCGUGCAUUUUCAGCACGAAAAUAGAACCGCGACCAAAAUCCCCCAUGACUUCUUCAUCUUCUUCUUUUUAUUCCUCUUCAUCAUUUUGGCUUUCGAAGCUCUCUGACGAUAAAGUGAAACGCAAGUCGUCGAUAUAAGUGUAAAAAGAUGUUGGAGGAUUGAUAUAUACGUUGAUGGAGAGGAGCGUCCGAGUCCUAUUUGUCUCGAGUGAGAUUUCCAGCUUCUCAAAAGUCAUCGACAAUUUCGUACGAGCUUGAAUCACCCCCAAAACGUUUCCUCAUUUUCCAUAUGGGUGGAACGUUCGAAAAUCAAAUUCUUUUUCAAUCUGUUCUCAGGAUUCGAACGAAAGAACAAAAUAAUUUGGAUUUCCGUCAAAAAAUCGCUUUGGAAGCACAUUUUUUAAAGCAGGAACAUUUUAAUGACCAUUUUUUUUUUUUUUUUUCAUGCAAAUCUUAGAAUUUGUGGUGCGAAUAAACGUAAAUGAAUUUUCGGAAUCGUAUAGGCUCUGUAAUCCCGAGGAAAAUGUUUGAAAAGUGAUUUGUGAAAAAAAGUUCGUUCGAUCGAAAAGAUGCCACGAAUUUGCGAAGCAGCAUUUCGGAAAGCGUGACGCAGGUCGAGUUGGCAUAAAACGGCUCGUACACAAACAAACGAAAAUCGUUGACAACGAGAGAGUCUGUAUAUUUAUCACGAAUUUCCGUAAGGAAAUAGGAAAACCUUGGCUGGUGCGACGACAUCGAGAGCACACGCGUGUGUUUGUACGUGUGAGACUUAACGUUCGCAGAUGGACAAUUUCUUUGUACGAAACACGUUUCUGCGUUUCGUUUCCAAUUCUCCCCGGAGCAACGGAUACGCGUAUAUUUUCGUAUAUUUUCCGGGAAACGUUGAUUCGCGUUGGUAAAAAAAAGAAGAAAUUCAUUUUUCGCGCAUCCACUGUGACGAGUGAAAAGAAGAGAAUUCAUUAUUUCGUUCCUCGUUUUUUCCGCACGAUCGCUUUGACUUCCGAUGACUGAUUAGUAUUUUUUCUAUUGGCCGUUCUAAAGCUUCCUGAGCGUGCUGCAAACCGGCGCAAUAAUGCAGCAAGAGAACGCUCAAUGCUUGCACACGGAGAUCACUUUGGGCUAUCAAUUUGACACUGUCGUGUUCACCACUUUGCGAUAACUCUAACCUUGAGGUAGUUUCACCAUCCAAUGAUGCCUUCAGUUUUGUCAUCUGGGGAAAAAACAUUGAAUUAAUUUUUCGUUCCAACUCCAAGCGAGUGUUUAACCAAUAUUUUUGAGAUUUAGAAAAAAUGUUCAAAUAAUUUGAACCGAUUAGAUCAUAUCGUCAAUGAAAAUUUGUUCAUCUUGAAAGUCUCCUUAGCCCUCGACAUCAAACCGUCGUCCAAGUCGCCAGCGAGUAACGGUGCCGCGACACUCGGCUCCGUGCCUUCGAGCAGCUCUGGACUUAUUCCCAAUCCACCGACGAGGGAAUUCUACAUGGUCGUUCACUGACGACUUGGUUUAUUGUUCGGGAUUUUUUGGGAGCACGAUAAAUGAACUCAAAAAGAAAUGUUCAUUUGUUCAUUUUCGCAACGAGAAAAUGAGAUGGUGUGUUGCGUGAGAGUGAGGCGAUUUUUCAAGUUCGUUAUUGCCAAGCGUUUUCCCCAUAUAUUUCUUCUUCGAAAUGUUUUUUUUUCUUGUGUCGCAAGCCAAGCACAUUGCAAGCCACAUUAUGCAGGUCUAAUGAAGAGCUGUUCAAAGUGAUCGGUGAUUGGUACAUCGACCCUGCCCAAAAGUUAGAUGAUGCAGAGUACAACGAAGAAUGAAAAAAAAAAAAAAAAGAGAUAGACGAAAAAUUUCACAGUGCAUACAAAUAACGAUUUCGUGGUGAGAGUUACUUAAAUGGUGAAUCGUUAAAUAAAGCUAUCGACAUGUAUUUCGUAAUUCUUAUUUCCUAGGAUCAAAAUUGAUAAUACAAAAAACAACAACGCAGAGACUCGUUAUUGAUAUUGCAAAACAUCCAAGUGGGAAAACUUUUUAUAAUGUUUUCAACAUAAAAUUCAUUCAAAAUCUGAGCAGAGUGGGUUUCAUUUAAAUCCCACAAUGAAACUCACUGAACUAAAAGCGAAAACAACAUUCAACGAUCUUUUCAAAUUUUCUUUGACUAUGAGUAGAAUCCUUAGAAAAGAUGCAACGCUGUUUCAAAAUUUCUUUUGGAUAAUGCUCAUCAUUGUGCUGCAACAAAAACAACGAUAUUUAUUUGUACCUUGCGAGAUGCGCAGGGACUUGGGGGCAGACUUCUCGAGGCCAAACCACCACCGGAUGCUGGGGGUGCGAGGCAACUUGUACUUCCAGCUUUCUUGAGACCCAGCAGCGUGUUAGCUAUACUUGCCUUGACGGCCAUCAUACCCUAAUUGGAUCGAUCAACGCAUUCCAAUUCGAUUAUUUGGAUGAAAUAUUGGAAGCUUGUACUACGUGUUCAGUACCUGAACGUUCUCCUCACAACCCGUCAGGGAUAUCUCUGGACCGGUGUCACCCGCCAUUACGCUCGCUUCUAUCUCGUCGGCUUCGUAUGCCAUCGUUGUUAACGUCUCUGCACCACAACUACCCGAGGACUGACAACGUGCCUCACACUUUUUGUGACACACCAUUCCGCAGUCUCUACAUUGCACUGCGUCUUUCAACCAGAUCUGGAAAUGAAGAAUUUUUGUAUCAGAAACUAUCAAUAGUUAGGCUGAAAAAUUGACAGUGUAUUGUCAACUCAUUAAUUUUGGUUUUCGUUUUCAGAUUGUAAAAUUUAUUUCGUGCGAAUUGAAUAAAUUUGUGUGAAUUCAUUCGAAUGGAA
This 5320-nucleotide long non-coding RNA is filed under the name Venturia canescens. Its description in RNAcentral is "uncharacterized LOC122410641, transcript variant X8". Lineage: Eukaryota; Metazoa; Arthropoda; Insecta; Hymenoptera; Ichneumonidae. The record is from RNAcentral.